GUAAUGUUUCGUUAUCUCUGUUUCUUCUAUUCACAUCAAAAAUAAAUUUCAAAUUUUAUAUAUCAAAAUAGAUCUGCAUGUGGUUCCUCCAGAUUUUAUUGACAUCUUAGAGAAGCCAUUACCAAUGAAGCUGCCUCAAAGGGAGGGUCUUAAGCUGCAGCGAAUCGCAAAGCUGCUGCUGCUUCUGCAGGUGGUGCCACAGGUUCCGAAUCCAGGGUAAAGGGUUCCUCUGAGAAGAAGAAGGGCAAAGGAAAAAAGGAUUGAGAGUGAGGUCAUCUCAUGGUUAUUGUACAAACCUAUAUAUUAAUAAUAUCCUACAAACUACAAACUCACAAUCUCUUUCUUGAUCAUAAAUAAAACCAGAGAUUGUCACCUUUACUUAUCAUGAAAUGCUACUACUAUCUUUCUGUAAUGGCUAUUGAUGAUAUAUAAAUGAUAGCAAAAUUUAUAAUAUUCUGAAUGAUACAUUAUAUCUUCUCUUUAUUGAUUCUCAAAUAUCCACCGACCACAAGCAUUGCUUAUAGCAUUCUUUGUACAUUCUCAUACAAGUGGAUAAGAGUUCCGAGUAUGAAAAGCUAUGUCAUUCUUUGCCACAGGGUAGUAAGCAGGUGAUCAAAACCAGAAAUUUAUUGGUUUUGAGAGAAUUGGGAAUGCCUCAGAAGUUGUU
Molecule: long non-coding RNA, 667 nt
Organism: Arabidopsis thaliana (thale cress)
Lineage: Eukaryota; Viridiplantae; Streptophyta; Magnoliopsida; Brassicales; Brassicaceae
Product: other RNA
Exons: 1
Source: RefSeq